CCCUAGCCCUGAUGGGAGGGAAAAUCCUUUUGUUCCGGUGUUCGGAACAAAAGAUUGGAAGGACAGCAGGAAAUAGC
This 77-nucleotide small RNA is filed under the name Flavobacterium sp. 81. RNAcentral describes it as "Flavo-1 RNA". It matches the Rfam family "Flavo-1 RNA". The record is from RNAcentral. Lineage: Bacteria; Pseudomonadati; Bacteroidota; Flavobacteriia; Flavobacteriales; Flavobacteriaceae. RNAcentral also lists the same sequence under 1 other name.